This is a long non-coding RNA of Sinocyclocheilus anshuiensis, 321 nucleotides long. RefSeq lists it as uncharacterized. Lineage: Eukaryota; Metazoa; Chordata; Actinopteri; Cypriniformes; Cyprinidae. The record is from RefSeq and is a predicted model, not a curated record. The transcript has 3 exons.
AGAGUUAAAAAGUGUUGAUUCUGGUGUUGAUUUGAAUGGCAUUAACACUUGCAGUGUAAAUCAGUGGUCGGAGUCAGUGUAAUUACAGCGAGUUGACAUAAUUGACACUGGUGAUGAGUUGAUCCAAUUUCCGGUCCUUGCACGUUAUUUCCUUUUUGAUUAAUGGCGGACGACCACGAGGAGAGGACAGUGUUCAAACAAAUAACGCGACAGACCACCGACAGAUAUCGAGUCCAUUUAGCUGCACUACUUGUUAGCAAGCAAAUUGAGCUUUCAUGUUCAUCAAGGCGUGAAGAAAUUUGUAAAACUGCACAGCGAUAG